This 3238-nucleotide unclassified non-coding RNA is filed under the name Hevea brasiliensis (rubber tree). The record is from RNAcentral. Lineage: Eukaryota; Viridiplantae; Streptophyta; Magnoliopsida; Malpighiales; Euphorbiaceae.
UUUUUUUUCGUCUUUUAGCUUUUCCACUUUUUCCGUAUUUUGAAUUUUGAUUCGUUUGAUUCGUUUCUUCCAAUUCAACAAUAUCUACUUUUCCGGCGAUCAACGGUUGAUCUUUAUUUCAAUCAUGGGAGCUUCUCACAGUCGCGAAGGUCUAGAACUUUCCGAUGAAUCGGAUUACGAGGACGAAGAGGGAAGUAGCAGAACAGAAAGUGAAGAACAGUAUGAAGACGCCGCUGACGAUCAUGCUUCGAUGAGGACUCCACAGGUGAGUAACAGAAACCUUGAUGAAUUGGAUUCCAAACUGAAAGCGCUAAAACUUAAGUAUGGUUCGCCGGUGACGCCGACUAAUCUAAGAAAUGCGGUGAAGUUGUACUUGCAUGUUGGCGGUAAUACGCCGAAAGCGAAAUGGAUAAUCUCGCAGAAGCUGACUAACUAUGAGUUUGUUAAAACACUGAAAAUCGGAGGUGAUGAUGAAGACGAUUACGGAUCGUCAAGUGGAGGAGAUGAGGGCUUUUGGGUUUUGAAGGUGGGGAAGAAGAUUAAGGUUAGGGUUUCGACUGAUAUGCAGCUGAAGAUGUUUGGAGAUCAGAGGAGGGUUGAUUUUGUGGAUAACGGAGUAUGGGCUUUGAAGUUUUUUGUGGAUGACGAGUAUAGGAAUUUCAUUACCAAGUUCCAGGACUGCUUAUUUGAGAAUGUGUAUGGAAUGGAGGCUACGGAGGCUAACAAAGUGAAGAUUUAUGGGAAGGAGUUUAUUGGGUGGUUAAAACCUGAGGAAUCAGAUGAUGCAAUGUGGGAAGAUGCGGAUUCUGGAGUCUGGAAGGGUAGUGGAAAGAGUCCCAUGACACCGGCUAGGGAUAGGCAAGAUUUGCUGGAGGAAUUUGAGGAAGCUGCUACUGGUGGAGGAAUACAGAGUUUGGCAUUAGGGGCUUUAGAUAAUAGUUUUCUUGUGAAUGAUUCAGGAGUUCAAGUUGUGAAAAAUUUCAGCCACGGAAUCCACGGGAAGGGUGUUUAUGUGAAAUUUGAUGAGAAGGAUAAGUGGUCCGGAGGCUCAACUCCCAAAAAGGCUCUUUUGAUGCGUGGAGAAACCAAUAUGAUGCUAAUGAGUCCUUUUAAGGAAGGGAAGCCCCGUUCAACUGGACUUCACCAAUUGGAUAUCGAGACUGGUAAAGUUGUUACUGAAUGGAAGUUUGAGAAGGACGGGACUGAUAUUACCAUGAAGGAUAUAACAAAUGAUACCAAAGGGUCACAGUUGGAUCCUUCUGAAUCGACAUUUUUGGGUUUGGAUGAUAACCGGCUGUGUCAGUGGGACAUGCGUGAUAAGAAGGGAAUUGUUCAGACAUUAGCAAAUACGAGUUCUCCAGUGUUGAAUUGGACUCAGGGGCAUCAGUUUUCAAGAGGAACGAAUUUUCAGUGCUUUGCCACGACUGGUGAUGGCUCCAUUGUAGUUGGAUCACUUGAUGGGAAGAUUCGCUUGUACUCGAAGACCUCUAUGAGGCAAGCAAAGACUGCAUUCCCUGGCCUUGGCUCUCCAAUUACACAUGUUGAUGUUACUUACGAUGGCAAAUGGAUACUGGGCACGACUGAUACAUAUUUGAUCUUAAUAUGCACUUUGUUUACGGAUAAAGCUGGGAAGACCAAAACUGGUUUUACUGGUCGAAUGGGAAAUAAAAUCCCAGCUCCAAGAUUAUUAAAGCUGACUCCUGUGGAUGCGCAUAUAGCUGGGGCAAACAACGAGUUCCAUGGUGGACAUUUCUCUUGGGUUACUGAAAGUGGAAAACAAGAACGCCAUUUGGUUGCAGCAGUAGGCAAAUUUAGCGUGAUAUGGAAUUUCCAACAGGUGAAGGACAGUGCUCAUCGUUGCUAUCAGAAUCAGCAAGGCCUGAAGAGUUGUUAUUGUUACAAGAUAGUGCCCAAGGAUGAAUCCAUUAUUGAGAGUCGUUUCAUGCAUGACAAGUAUGCUGUCAGUGACUCACCGGAGGCUCCCCUGGUUGUAGCAACGCCAAUGAAAGUUACUUCCACUGGGGGAUGGCGUUCCCGUAAUUCCGUCGACGGUGGAUUGUACCUUGGCUUCAAUGAACUACCUGGAUGAUCCGGAUUAUAACUUGGCUGAGAAGCUGGUACCCGACCCGAGAGAUGAGGAGGCGUUGACCCGACCCUUGAUUUUGCAAGUGAACCGUUUUAAGUGUGGUGGGUGGGUUUUCGGAACGGCGGUUCAUCACGCCAUGUGUGAUGGAAUGGGUUCGACGCUGUUUUUUCAUGCUAUGGCGGAGAUUGCUCGUGGGGAGAAGGGGAUGAAGAUUGAACCGGUGUGGGACCGGUCGAAUUUGCUUGGACCGAGGAAUCCACCACGAGUUGAAUUUCCGGUUCAUGAGUUCCUCAGUUUGGAUAGGGAUUCGUGUCCAUACUUGGAAUCAGGUAAAUCGGCAGUUCGAGAGUGCUUUGAGGUGAAAGAUGAGUGGUUGGAUAGACUAAAGGGGUUUCUUCAUGAGCAAUCUGCAGGUUCAAAGUAUACAACUUUUGAAGCUUUGGGAGCUUUCAUAUGGCGAGCAAAGGUAAAGGCUUGUAAAAUGUCAGAUGAUGAGACAGUGAAGUAUGCUUAUCUAACCAAUAUCAGAAGAAGAGUGAAGCCACCAUUGCCAGCAGGUUACUGGGGCAAUGGCUGUGUGCCAAUAUACGUUCAGCUCCUCGCAAAAGACAUCAUCAAUGAACCUAUCUGGAAAGCAGCAGACGCGAUAAAGAAGAGCAAGGACAUCAUCACAGAUGAGUAUGUUCGUUCGUUCAUUGAUUUUCAGGAGCUGCAUUAUGUUGAAGGGAUCACAUCAGGGAAUAGAGUGAGUGCAUUUACAGAUUGGCGGCAUGUAGGCCACGAGACGGUUGAUUUUGGAUGGGGUGGCCCUGUGACUGUCUUUCCUCUGUCUAGACACUUAGUUGGGAGUGUUGAACCUUGCUUUUUCUUGCCUUAUUCUUCUGCAAUUCAAGGUAAGAAAGAUGGUUUCAAAGUUUUGGUCUGUCUGCAACAAGAAGCCAUGCCUGUUUUCAUGGAAGAGAUGGAAAAGUUGGAGCAUGGACUUGCUUGAUUGAUUUUACUAUAUAUAUAUGUGUGUGUUAUAUUAAACUAAUAAAAACAACAUUUACAAGUAGAGACCAAAUUUGGCAUAUGUAUUACUACAUUUUCGACUGCUAAAUGUUCUUUCAAGUAAAUUACAAUGAAGAAAUGUAAUCCUUUACAUAAUUUAAC